This 497-nucleotide ribosomal RNA is filed under the name uncultured bacterium. Its description in RNAcentral is "SSU rRNA". It matches the Rfam family "Bacterial small subunit ribosomal RNA", at positions 26 to 521 of the family's 1533-position model. The record is from RNAcentral.
AGAUUGAACGCUGGCGGCGUGCUUAACACAUGCAAGUCGAGCGGUAACGCGGGAGCAAUCCUGGCGACGAGCGGCGAACGGGUGAGUAAUGCUUGGGAAUCUGCCCAUUAGUGGGGAACAACCAGCCGAAAGGUUGGCUAAUACCGCAUACGCCCUACGGGGGAAAGCGGGGGAUCGUAAGACCUCGCGCUAAUGGAUGAGCCCAAGUCGGAUUAGCUUGUUGGUAGGGUAACGGCCUACCAAGGCGACAAUCCGUAGCUGGUCUGAGAGGACGACCAGCCACACUGGGACUGAGACACGGCCCAGACUCCUACGGGAGGCAGCAGUGGGGAAUAUUGGACAAUGGGGGCAACCCUGAUCCAGCGACGCCGCGUGUGUGAAGAAGGCCUGCGGGUUGUAAGCACUUUUAGUGGGGAUGAAAAGCUCAGGGUUAACACCUCUGGGUCUUGACCUAACCACAGAAAAGCACCGGCUAACUCUGUGCCAGCAGCCGCGGU